RNAcentral lists this ribosomal RNA (700 nucleotides) under uncultured Alphaproteobacteria bacterium. RNAcentral's name for it is "bacterial SSU rRNA". It matches the Rfam family "Bacterial small subunit ribosomal RNA", at positions 42 to 779 of the family's 1533-position model. The record is from RNAcentral. Lineage: Bacteria; Pseudomonadati; Pseudomonadota; Alphaproteobacteria.
UCAGGCCUAACACAUGCAAGUCGAGCGAGAAACCGCCUUCGGGUGGCGGACAGCGGCGGACGGGUGAGUAAUGCGCGGGAAUAUGCCCUUUGGUACGGAAUAGCCCCUGGAAACGGGGAGUAAUACCGUAUGUGCCCUACGGGGGAAAGAUUUAUCGCCAAAGGAUUAGCCCAUGUUGGAUUAGCUAGUUGGUGAGGUAAAGGCUCACCAAGGCAACGAUCUAUAGCUGGUUUGAGAGGAUGAUCAGCCACACUGGGACUGAGACACGGCCCAGACUCCUACGGGAGGCAGCAGUGGGGAAUAUUAGACAAUGGGCGAAAGCCUGAUCUAGCCAUGCCGCGUGAGUGAAGAAGGCCCUAGGGUUGUAAAGCUCUUUCAGAUGUGAGGAUGAUGACAGUAACAUCAGAAGAAGCCCCGGCUAACUUCGUGCCAGCAGCCGCGGUAAUACGAAGGGGGCUAGCGUUGUUCGGAAUUACUGGGCGUAAAGGGCGCGUAGGCGGACUGGUCAGUUUGGUGUGAAAGCCCGGGGCUCAACCUCGGAACUGCACUGAAUACUGCCUGUCUAGAAUCCCGGAGGGGAGUGUGGAAUUUCUAGUGUAGAGGUGAAAUUCGUAGAUAUUAGAAAGAACACCGGUGGCGAAGGCGACACUCUGGACGGGUAUUGACGCUGAGGCGCGAAAGCGUGGGAGCAAACAGGAUU